UGGCACGAGAAGACUCAGAAGAGACUG
RNAcentral lists this non-coding RNA (27 nucleotides) under Mus musculus (house mouse). The record is from RNAcentral. Lineage: Eukaryota; Metazoa; Chordata; Mammalia; Rodentia; Muridae.